GUAAAAAGAUUACAGUGCAUAUUCUUAAAUUGGAAGGAUACAGAGAUGAUUAGCAUGGCCCCUGUGUAUGGAUGACCUGCAAAUUCAUGAAGUGUUCCAUAUUUUU
Molecule: small nuclear RNA, 106 nt
Organism: Choloepus hoffmanni (Hoffmann's two-fingered sloth)
Lineage: Eukaryota; Metazoa; Chordata; Mammalia; Pilosa; Megalonychidae
Source: Ensembl